This 254-nucleotide ribosomal RNA is filed under the name uncultured bacterium. Its description in RNAcentral is "partial 16S ribosomal RNA". It matches the Rfam family "Bacterial small subunit ribosomal RNA", at positions 524 to 776 of the family's 1533-position model. The record is from RNAcentral.
UACGUAGGCAGCAAGCGUUGUUCGGAGUUACUGGGCGUAAAGGGUGUGUAGGCGGUUAUUUAAGUUUGGUGUGAAAUCUCCCGGCUCAACCGGGAGGGUGCGCCGAAUACUGAAUGACUUGGAGUGCGGGAGAGGAAAGUGGAAUUCCUGGUGUAGCGGUGAAAUGCGUAGAUAUCAGGAGGAACACCGGUGGCGAAGGCGGCUCUCUGGACGGAUACUGACGCUGAGGCGCGAAAGCGUGGGGAUCAAACAGG